AGAGUUUGAUCCUGGCUCAGAUUGAACGCUGGCGGCAUGCUUUACACAUGCAAGUCGAACGGUAACAGGGAGCUUGCUCCGCUGACGAGUGGCGAACGGGUGAGUAAUAUAUCGGAACGUACCCAAGAGUGGGGGAUAACGUAGCGAAAGUUACGCUAAUACCGCAUACGAUCUAAGGAUGAAAGCAGGGGACCGCAAGGCCUUGUGCUCCUGGAGCGGCCGAUAUCUGAUUAGCUAGUUGGUAGGGUAAAGGCCUACCAAGGCAUCGAUCAGUAGCUGGUCUGAGAGGACGACCAGCCACACUGGAACUGAGACACGGUCCAGACUCCUACGGGAGGCAGCAGUGGGGAAUUUUGGACAAUGGGCGCAAGCCUGAUCCAGCAAUGCCGCGUGAGUGAAGAAGGCCUUCGGGUUGUAAAGCUCUUUUGUCAGGGAAGAAACGGGUGGGGCUAAUAUCCUCAUCUAAUGACGGUACCUGAAGAAUAAGCACCGGCUAACUACGUGCCAGCAGCCGCGGUAAUACGUAGGGUGCAAGCGUUAAUCGGAAUUACUGGGCGUAAAGCGUGCGCAGGCGGUUUUGUAAGUUUGUCGUGAAAUCCCCGGGCUCAACCUGGGAAUGGCGAUNAAGACUGCAAGGCUAGAGUUUGGCAGAGGGGGGUAGAAUUCCACGUGUAGCANUGAAAUGCGUANAGAUGUGGAGGAACACCGAUG
Molecule: ribosomal RNA, 711 nt
Filed under: uncultured bacterium
Lineage: Bacteria
Description: bacterial SSU rRNA
Rfam family: Bacterial small subunit ribosomal RNA
Source: RNAcentral